GGCGGAUGUAGCCAAGUGGAUCAAGGCAGUGGAUUG
This 36-nucleotide transfer RNA is filed under the name Pyrus calleryana (callery pear). RNAcentral's name for it is "partial tRNA-His". The record is from RNAcentral. Lineage: Eukaryota; Viridiplantae; Streptophyta; Magnoliopsida; Rosales; Rosaceae. RNAcentral also lists the same sequence under 29 other names.